RNAcentral lists this RNase P RNA (346 nucleotides) under Candidatus Babelota bacterium. RNAcentral describes it as "RNase P RNA component class A". It matches the Rfam family "Bacterial RNase P class A". From Rfam's summary of the family: Ribonuclease P (RNase P) is a ubiquitous endoribonuclease, found in archaea, bacteria and eukarya as well as chloroplasts and mitochondria. The record is from RNAcentral.
AAGGUAGUCAAGGUAAUCGCUUGGGGUGCAAUUCAUUGUAUCAUGAGAGGAAAGUCCGGACUCCAAACGAAAGAGGUACCUUAGAAAUUAAGGGAGGUGAAAGCCUACGGAAAGUGCCACAGAAAAUAACCGCUUUCUACGUAAGUAGAAAGUAAGGGUGAAAACGGGUGGUAAGAGCACCCGAUGUAUGUUAGUAAUAGCAUGCAGGGGAAAACCCUACCUGGAGCAAGACAAAAUAGGCAUGUACGGUUUUUCGUUCCGGUUUAAACAUGCGGGUAUGUCGCAUAGAUAGAUGGUUACCAACCGUGUAAACGGUACAGAAUCCGGCUUAUUGACUACCUUUUAU